RNAcentral lists this ribosomal RNA (428 nucleotides) under Micromonospora sp. AMSO12t. RNAcentral's name for it is "bacterial SSU rRNA". It matches the Rfam family "Bacterial small subunit ribosomal RNA", at positions 348 to 786 of the family's 1533-position model. The record is from RNAcentral. Lineage: Bacteria; Bacillati; Actinomycetota; Actinomycetes; Micromonosporales; Micromonosporaceae.
GCUGCAGUGGGGAAUAUUGCACAAUGGGGGAAACCCUGAUGCAGCGACGCCGCGUGCGGGAUGGAGGCCUUCGGGUCGUGAACCGCUUUUGUUUGGGAGCAAGCCUUCGGGUGAGUGUACCUUUCGAAUAAGCACCGGCUAACUACGUGCCAGCAGCCGCGGUAAUACGUAGGGUGCAAGCGUUGUCCGGAAUCAUUGGGCGUAAAGGGCUCGUAGGCGGUUCGUCGCGUCCGGUGUGAAAGCCCAACGCUUAACGGUGGGUCUGCGCCGGGUACGGGCGUGCUUGAGUGCGGCAGGGGAGGCUGGAAUUCCCGGUGUAACGGUGGAAUGUGUAGAUAUCGGGAAGAACACCGAUGGCGAAGGCAGGUCUCUGGGCCGUCACUGACGCUGAGGAGCGAAAGCGUGGGGAGCGAACAGGAUUAGAUACC